GAAGAAAGCUCUGGGGCCUGGUACGAAAUGAAAUUGUCGUGUGUGUCAGUGACUGUGCUGUUAGGUGUUAAGGGGGAGGCUUCAGGAGUGGUGAACAGGUCUGCAGGGGUCUCUCUGUCUCUCCCUCUUAUCUCCUCAUUGCCUCUCAAUUUCUCUCUGUUUCUAUCCAAUAAUAAGUAAAUACAGAUUAAGAAACCAAACAAAUGGGAGUCGGGCGGUAGCGCAGCGGAUUAAGCGCACGUGGCGCAAAGCACAAGGACCCGGCCUAAGGAUCCCGGUUCAAGCCCCCAGCUCCCCACCUGCAGGGGAGUCGCUUCCCAGGCGGUGAAGCAGGUCUGCAGGUGUCUGUCUUUCUCUCCCCCUCUCUGUCUUCCCCUCCUCUCUCCAUUUCUCUCUGUCCUGUCCAACAACAAUGACAUCAGUAACAAUAACUAGAGACAAGUUCUGUGCACUGUGUGGUGCGUCUUCCCCAAGUUUGCAGCUGCUUCAGUGCUUUGAAAACCACUGGCAUGAAAACACACAGAUCCUCAAGAAUUCCAAACACGAGGCUGAGUGCAGCCCUUAGUAACUCCUGACAUAUUCCCAGGGAACAGGUUUUGAAACCACGGGGUGACACACAAGCUGGCCGGCCGGGCUGUCUCAGCAACUACUGACGCUCACUGGCGCGCUCACUCACGCCUCUGCUCCCAGACCUGGGGGCCAGGCGGCGGCGCGUCUGUUCAGCACACACGUGAACGUUUUCCAGAAGAGCAAACAGAGGCUGACCCCCCGCUUGGGGGUCUUCUACAGGACAGCUGUCAGGUUCUAGAUGCUACCAUGAUGCCAAUGGGACUUCUCUGGGCAGACGACCCCACCAGUGUGUCCUGGAGCUCCGCUUCCCCAGAGCCCCGCCCCACUAGGGAAAGAGAGAGGCAGGCUGGGAGUAUGGAUCCACCUGCCAACACCCAUGUUCAGUGGGGAAGCAAUGACAGAAGCCAGACCUUCC
Erinaceus europaeus (western European hedgehog) is the source of this 985-nucleotide long non-coding RNA. RefSeq lists it as uncharacterized. The record is from RefSeq and is a predicted model, not a curated record. The transcript is spliced from 4 exons. NCBI's taxonomy places the organism in Eukaryota, Metazoa, Chordata, Mammalia, Eulipotyphla, Erinaceidae.